CUUGUCAUCUAAGCCUGAUUGAGAUCAAGAUUAAAUCGUUUCACAUUCUUCAUGAACAUGAAAACAAUGACACAAAUAAUAGGGUUAACUAUCAGAUUGGUCCCUGUCUUUGUUUUGCCGUCUGAGGUAAGUCCCUCCCCGAAAAAUUUAUUGUCUUUGGUCCUCAUGUUUGAAAAACUUUUGGAGCGGAUCCUCGCCGGAGCCCGGAGCUCCGGCGAGUAAUGAAAUGGCAUGCUGAGUGGAUUAACGGUGCUUAUGUGGAAUAAAAAAAAUUAAAAUAAUAAACACAUCAGAAAAUUAAAAAAAAUUAGGCUUAAAUAUGUUGGGGGCCCCUAUAAAAUGGGGGUCCUUUGGUUUAAGCUCCUACAAAAAAAUUUCUUUGGCAUACGCCCUUAUGUGGAAAAUAAUAGUGAGCUUUAAGCCCCUGCCGUCAACAUCUGUUAAAAAAAAAACGUUAAGUGCUGAGCUGGCAACAAAUGGUCACUUCUCUCUCAUACCUAACUCUCCACAUCAUAUCCCAUCUCAUAUAUUAUUUUCCAUUUCAUUUUAAUUAUUAAAUAAAAUUUCAGAAAAAAUAAAUCAUGUUAUUCUUCUUCUCCCUCCCUCUUGUGCUCAUCGUCCACGACCCCUCAUCUUCUUCACCAUGGCCACCAGGCACCAACUGUCUCCUUCAUCAUCCAUCGCCCCCUCCUCCCUCCUCUUCUUCACCAUCAUUGAAGGAUCCUUCCUUCGUCUGGGUUGAGGCCUUCUUUCUCCUGAUAAUUUUGGAGCGCAUGACUGUGAUGCGGGCUGGAGACAUCGUGGUGAUGCGCGAGGAUGAUGACGGAGGAGCUCCGAUCUGGAUCUCUGGAUCUCUCUUUCAAUUUUGUGUUUGUGUUGAAUUAAGAACAUGAAGGGGCAUAAAGCUACAUAUUAUUUUGCACAUAAGGGUGUAUGCCAAAGAAAUUUUUUUGUAGGGGCUUAAACCAAAGAACCUCUAUUUUAUAGGGGCCCCCAACAUAUUUAAGCCAAAAAAUUAAAGCCCAAAACUUUUCAUAACUCACAAGUUAACCCCCAAAUCAAAGAAACCCUAAAUCCCUAAAUCAGAAGAUUCAAACCCAGUAACACUAAACCUAAAAUCCCAAAAUUUCUAUUAAAACCAAAUUCAGAUUUCUCAUAGCACCAACAGAAACCUAACAAAUCAAACCCAGCAACACUACACCACUCUUUCCAGUUUGCACCGAUUUCCCACUCUCCCACCACCGAUUCCCCACUCUCCCACCACCUCCACUCUCCCACCACCUCCACUCUCCCACCACUCACUCAAGAGCGACGAGAUCGAGUUUGACAGAAGAGGAAGAAGUCGAGAAAGAGGAAAGAGCGCGCGGGAGGAGAAGCGCUGAACCAGAUCUUCGUCGCCUUCGUUCAUGCUGUUCAUCAUCACCGUCAUCUUCGUCGCCGUCGGCGGCGACGGUCUGAGACGCCAGGACGCGAGAGGCACCAUGUUGUGGCGAAACGACGUCGUUGUAAUGGGUUCACGGGAGGGAAGACUGAAGGUCGAAGGUUUUCUUCAUCUCCUCCCUGUUGGAAUUGUGGUUUGGGGUUGUGUUUCAGGUUCGACGAUCUGUGACCUCUGUAUUGUGCUGUUGGUGCUCUUCCGGCUGGGAGCUGUGGGAAGCGUUUUUGUUUCUUGCUCUUCUUUUGCUAGUGUUUUUGUUUCUUUUUCUUUCUCUGAGAUGUAACUGGGUUUGUGCCCCCUUUUAUUAAUUCAAUUUUUGCCCAGAUUAUUAGUUCUAUUUUUA
Long non-coding RNA from Lotus japonicus, 1781 nucleotides. RefSeq lists it as uncharacterized. Lineage: Eukaryota; Viridiplantae; Streptophyta; Magnoliopsida; Fabales; Fabaceae. The transcript is spliced from 2 exons. The record is from RefSeq and is a predicted model, not a curated record.